Molecule: long non-coding RNA, 909 nt
Organism: Folsomia candida
Lineage: Eukaryota; Metazoa; Arthropoda; Collembola; Entomobryomorpha; Isotomidae
Exons: 2
Source: RefSeq, a predicted model, not a curated record
AGAUAAGCCAAGCCACCUCUUCGUUCGAGGAGACAGAGACCAACAAGCUCCACGCCAAACAAGAGCUCCCUUCCUGCUCCAGAAAUUUUACCAAUUUUUAAAAUUUCCACCUAGUUCACAUUGCGAAAUAAAUUCCAGAACGUCGUACGCGUAAAGAAAUCCGAACGUUGGUUGACAAUCUUGCAGAAGAAGGUUGAAAGGCAGGAUUCGAGCAGGAGAAGAUUCUUGAUACUCAAGAACCGACUGCAUCCCGAACACACGCCUUACGCCCAAAUUUGAAAGAGUCGUUGAAAAAGGGAUCGAUGCAUUUUAACGGGUCAACUUCCGAGCAGAACGAGACGUUGUCGUUGGACGGAAUGGAGGUUAACCAGAAAGCGGUCAAACGACAGAAGGCGCUCGUCCCCACGAAGGAGAAAGUCGACAAAGGGGAAAGUUCUCAAGAGAAUGGGCGAUUUCCUCCUCACUCCGUCCAAGCACCACGUGACGAUAACCACGUGCACUCGCAGUCACCCAACAUCACGUUAUCCAAAGCCAAGAAAGUCUUCCCAUGCAAAACAUGCCUCCGUCCUUUCAACAACAAAACCAGUGCUCGCCUCCACGCCCGCACCCACCUCAACCCCCACGAACUAGAGCAGUCCUCAUUUUUCCACGCAAGGUCCCCCACUGCGAAAAAGCGUUCUUCACUCGUAAUUCGUUUGUCGACUGACCCCUCGUCAAAUUUCAUGUAAUGUUUCCAUACUUUAGAUUUUUAUAUGUUCCCCAUGUCACCAUUUGUGACGAGAUAAUUAUUCUCGUAUGACUGAUAAAAAUAGAAUAAUGGAAUUAGUAAGAUGUAAACAUGACCAAAUUUUUGUUACCGUUUUGACCACGACGAUUUUUAUGUAGUAAAGUCAUUCUUUUUAUGUAAAA